CGAACCCUUAUCUUCCGCGGUAGCCUCACCGCAUUGUUCCAGGAAUUAGCAUAUAUUCUCGAUGGUUGACAUGUUAUCCUGAUUGGAGAACUUGGAGAAGCCGCAUUAUUCCAGGAAUCAGCAUAUAUUCUCGAUGGUUGAUAUAUUACCCUGAUCGGAGAAUUUGGAGAAGUCCGGCAGCAUGUACCGAUGCGGUGGCAAAGGUACUGUCGAAUGCUUCGGGGUACGGAUGCCGUACGUGUACGCCUGAUCCAUAGGCUUCACGCUGGGACUCGGAUCGGCAUACAAAAACCGACGUGUUCGGUGUUUGGUGAUUUCGGUUCGGUGGUCGGUUUCACCGAACUUCAGUAUGUGAACUGCAAUGCAAGCAAGCAGCAGUUCAACAGCAGUUUAGUGAAAAAAUCAACACGGAUGUAGCCAUGUAGGCAAGCAAGCAAGGAGCCAACGAUAGCAAGAAAGCAAGCAGGCAAUUAAGAAGCGCAGAUCACAGAGGCACGGCAAACACGCAGCCGCAAAUUCACAUACUCACGAUUCACAGAUCAAAAGCAAACACAACAGCAACAAGCUAGUCUCCCAACUCCAGGCCGCUCGACGGUUGCCGCUGGCGGUCAUUGACGCGCUGCUCGAAGCUGCUGUAGCCCCAAGCGUUUCAUGGCAGCCUCGCCCCGCACGUUCUUGUCCAGACGUGGCGACCGUACAGCCGCAGCCAUGCUCGUAGCGCGUCGCCGCCGCAUGGCCGCAGCCCUGCUGGCCACUCGCCGUCGACGCCGCGGCCGCCGCCGGAUGUGGAAGGAACAGGUGCUAGGGUAAAGAAUGAUUCGCACGUUCUUGUCCAGGCUCUGGGCUUGGUGAA
Molecule: long non-coding RNA, 853 nt
Filed under: Panicum hallii
Lineage: Eukaryota; Viridiplantae; Streptophyta; Magnoliopsida; Poales; Poaceae
Description: long non-coding RNA (PHAL_LNC000321)
Source: RNAcentral